UACGUAGGGGGCAAGCGUUGUUCGGAAUUACUGGGCGUAAAGGGCUCGUAGGUGGCCAACUAAGUCAGACGUGAAAUCCCUCAGCUUAACUGGGGAACUGCGUCUGAUACUGGAUGGCUUGAGAUUGGGAGAGGGAUGCGGAAUUCCAGGUGUAGCGGUGAAAUGCGUAGAUAUCUGGAGGAACACCGGUGGCGAAGGCGGCAUCCUGGACCAACACUGACACUGAGGAGCGAAAGCCAGGGGAGCAAACGGG
Molecule: ribosomal RNA, 253 nt
Filed under: uncultured bacterium
Lineage: Bacteria
Description: partial 16S ribosomal RNA
Rfam family: Bacterial small subunit ribosomal RNA
Source: RNAcentral